CAUUGAAACACUUAUUCCCAUACGAUCACCAAAGUUAAGCAACGUCGAGCCUGGUCAGUACCUAGAUGGGUGACUGAUUGGGAAUAGCAGGUGCUGUAUGC
RNAcentral lists this ribosomal RNA (101 nucleotides) under Acanthosepion pharaonis. Lineage: Eukaryota; Metazoa; Mollusca; Cephalopoda; Sepiida; Sepiidae. The record is from RNAcentral.